This is a long non-coding RNA of Daktulosphaira vitifoliae (grape phylloxera), 1284 nucleotides long. RefSeq lists it as uncharacterized. The record is from RefSeq and is a predicted model, not a curated record. The transcript is spliced from 3 exons. NCBI's taxonomy places the organism in Eukaryota, Metazoa, Arthropoda, Insecta, Hemiptera, Phylloxeridae.
ACAACAACAUCUUUAGGUUGAUAAUAACUUUUAGAUAAGUACUUAUUGGCUUAUAAGAAUUUUAAUACAUAAAACAUGUAACGAGUAUAUAGCACAGGUGGAGUAUGCGUUAAAAAUAUACACCAAUACAAACUCUAUCCACCCGCGCUACAUACUCACUCGGUUUAUUAAAAUACCUGUAAGUAAUAAUUGAUAUGUACUUAUCCUAAAGUUAACUCGUCAACUCAUCAGCAUUUUUUUUGUGUAAAUAGAAAGUAGAAACUGUAUCAUGUGUACCCUGAUAGUAUGGAUAAUUUAAAUCCCAAGACAAAGUUCAACAAUAUUUUUUUUUUAUGGAUAAGCUUAAUGUUAGCUUUUGUGUAAAUGUAAUUAUUUUUUCUCUUUCUAUUUUUUAUUUUUUUACAAAUUACUUAGCCAAAAAAUAUUAGGUAAUAUUUGGUAAACCUUGACAAUUUGAUAACGUUUCCGUAAUUUCGCCUAAACACAUUACUUUACAAAACAAACUUAAGGUACGACGUUUACAUUUAACCUAAUUGUUAAAAGGAAUAAAAGAGCCAUUAAUAAAGUAAAAACAUUUAACAUUUACUAAGUAAAUACGUGAUUACACACAAUGCAAAGUGAGCUCAAUGAUAGAACUAUGUUCAUAAUUUAACCACACUAAAAAUUUUUUGUUUGAAUUCGCAAGUAGAGAUAGCAUUGGUCAUUAGCAAAGUGCAUAUAAAAAAAAAUGAUAAGUGAUUUUCAUUAAUUUUAUCUAUUACUUUUACUGGUAAACAUAACUUCUAGUGGACGUCAUAGUGCACUGGCGACUGUUUCAUUUUUCUAUUUAAUUUCUGUGUUACUCAAGUUUAAUCUCUGUUUGUAUAAUCAAAUAUUACUAAUCGAUUAUUUUAUGGUUCUAAAACGGCAUUCGAUUGUAAUGAGAUAUAGUGUUGUUGUACAUUACGACAUUUUUUUGAUGAAUUUUAUGACUCAAGACCUUAAAAUAUAUUGUUUCUAAUCAAAGUACUGAUCAAAUUUUCUACAUUAUUCCAUCUCAACUAUUAAGAUGUGAUUUAUAACAAUAUAUGUAUAAAGUUAAUCGUAGAUAAAAGUAAUAUGUUAUUUAAGAGCCGCAAUGACCUCCGAAUAAAAAAAAAUGUAAUCGUUGAAAUUAUAGACAGUAGCAGAAGUUGUUUUAAUGUUAAUAGCUAAGUAUUCAUGUUUUGGAAGAUUCGAUUAAUACUUCACAAAUACUAUUAACUGAAUGAUUAACUUACAGGAGUGUUAUUUGACAAAUUAACC